GAUGAAGAACGCAGCGAAAUGCGAUAAGUAGUGUGAAUUGCAGAAUUCAGUGAAUCAUCGAAUCUUUGAACGCACAUUGCGCCCCUCGGUAUUCCGUGGGGCACGCCUGUUCGAGCGUCAUUUACACCCUCAAGCGCAGCUUGGUGUUGGGCGUCUGUCCCGCUCUCCGUAGCGCGGACUCGCCUCAAAGUCAUUGGCGGCGGUCGUGCCGGCUCCUCGUGCAGCACAUUUGCGCUUCUCGGAGGCCCGGCGGAUCGGCAUCCAGCAAGCUACUUUUUAUGACUUGACCUCGGAUCAGGUGAGGAUACCCGCUGAACUUAAGCAUAUCAAUAAGCGGAGGA
RNAcentral lists this unclassified non-coding RNA (341 nucleotides) under soil metagenome. RNAcentral's name for it is "partial contains 5.8S ribosomal RNA, internal transcribed spacer 2, and large subunit ribosomal RNA". The stretch from base 1 to 120 matches the Rfam family "5.8S ribosomal RNA", at positions 35 to 154 of the family's 154-position model. The record is from RNAcentral.